UAAGAAAAAAUAGCUUCCUUUCUUCCUGCUAAGCUGCAUCCUGGCUUUACUCAGCGGAGACAAGUGGAGCUGGGAUAGAAGCAUAGAACUUGUUUCCUGCAGCUCAGACUCUACCAGUCCCAGGCUAGAUUUCCCUGAGGCUGUGGCUAUACUGGGCCCACAUUCCCACAGGGUGACUUGGGCUGAAGCAAAAAUGUUCUGCUCACAGUGACAUUACUUGUCUGGACUUUUUGGUUUUCAACAUGAGCAACAGUCCCAGCCAGGCUGGGUGUGACUCAGUGGUUGCGCAUAGACAGACCUAUGAACCAGGAAGUCACAGUUGGAUUCCUAGUUAGGGCACAUACCCGGUUGCAGGCUCAAAACCCAGUGUGGCAUAUCUAGGAGGCAGCCAAUCAAUGAUUCUUUCUCACUGAUGUUUCUAUCUCUCCCUUUCCCUUUCUCUCUGAAAUCAAUUAAAAAUAUAUAUAGCAACAGUCCCAAAAGAAUGACAAACUAAGGGAGCAUUUACUAAGACUGGGCACUUAAAUCUGCUUCAUUUUAUUUAAUCCACACAGGAACUGUUUUCAGGGCAGGACUACUCAUUGCCCGAUUUUACUGCAGAGAAAACUCGGGCUCAGAGGGAUAAAGUGACUUGCCCAAGGUCACAGAGCUGACCAUCUCACUGACACUACCUCUGUUUCCUUCUCUGCCUCUCAGUAUGGGCAGCUAUGUGGGGACACUUGGUUCCUUCACAGAAAGUGUGGAGGAAGACACUAUGGUACAUAAUGAUGACAGUACCUCUUAUCUAUUGCUUCAUAAUAAACCAUCCUGAAACACAA
Molecule: long non-coding RNA, 818 nt
Organism: Myotis lucifugus (little brown bat)
Lineage: Eukaryota; Metazoa; Chordata; Mammalia; Chiroptera; Vespertilionidae
Exons: 2
Source: RefSeq, a predicted model, not a curated record